Molecule: ribosomal RNA, 119 nt
Filed under: Anneissia japonica
Lineage: Eukaryota; Metazoa; Echinodermata; Crinoidea; Comatulida; Comatulidae
Source: RNAcentral
GUCUACGGCCAUACUACCUUGAAAACACCGGUUCUCGUCCGAUCACCGAAGUUAAGCAUCGUCGGGCCUGGUUAGUACUUGGAUGGGAGACCGCUUGGGAAUACCAGGUGCUGUAGACA